RNAcentral lists this ribosomal RNA (403 nucleotides) under Verrucomicrobiota bacterium. RNAcentral describes it as "Verrucomicrobia bacterium partial 16S ribosomal RNA". It matches the Rfam family "Bacterial small subunit ribosomal RNA", at positions 355 to 776 of the family's 1533-position model. Lineage: Bacteria; Pseudomonadati; Verrucomicrobiota. The record is from RNAcentral.
UGGGGAAUAUUGCACAAUGGGCGCAAGCCUGAUGCAGCAACGCCGCGUGAACGAUGAAGGUCUUCGGAUCGUAAAGUUCUGUUGCAGGGGAAGAUAAUGACGGUACCCUGUGAGGAAGCCCCGGCUAACUACGUGCCAGCAGCCGCGGUAAUACGUAGGGGGCUAGCGUUAUCCGGAUUUACUGGGCGUAAAGGGUGCGUAGGUGGUCUUUCAAGUCGGUGGUUAAAGGCUACGGCUCAACCGUAGUUAGCCUCCGAAACUGGAAGACUUGAGUGCAGGAGAGGAAAGUGGAAUUCCCAGUGUAGCGGUGAAAUGCGUAGAUAGUGGGAGGAACACCAGUAGCGAAGGCGGCUUUCUGGACUGCAACUGACACUGAGGCACGAAAGCGUGGGUAGCAAACAGG